AUGGUCAUCGGUUGCAACACCAUGGGUAUCAUUGGUGGCUACCUGCACAGCAACCCAGACCUGUACGUGGCCGGCUGCUACUCCUACUGCCAGGGCAUCAACAGCACGUCCAACGGUGCGCCGUGCACUAGGAAGGGCUGCUGCGAAACCACCAUCACCCCAAACCUCACCAACUUUGCGGCGCUCUUGAUCAUCAACCAGAGCAGUGUAUGGACAUUCAACCCAUGCUUCUACGCUAUGCUUGCAGAGGUUGGAUGGUACAGCUUCAGUCAACAGGACCUUGUCGGGCGUCUUGGGUUCAUCAACAAGAGAGCCAAGAGAGGUGUCCCUGUUAUUUCUGACUGGGCCAUCAGAAAUGGCUCCUGCCCAAAGGAUGGAGCAACGGUGCCAAUGGGUUAUGCAUAUGUCAGUUCAAACAGCUAUUGUGUGGGUGCAACCAAUGGCCCAGGCUACAUGUGCAACAUCAAUCUCUAA
RNAcentral lists this ribosomal RNA (474 nucleotides) under Triticum aestivum (bread wheat). RNAcentral's name for it is "partial small subunit ribosomal RNA". The record is from RNAcentral. Lineage: Eukaryota; Viridiplantae; Streptophyta; Magnoliopsida; Poales; Poaceae.